AGCGAACGCUGGCGGCAGGCUUAACACAUGCAAGUCGAGCGGGCGUAGCAAUACGUCAGCGGCAGACGGGUGAGUAACGCGUGGGAACAUACCUUUUGGUUCGGAACAACUGAGGGAAACUUCAGCUAAUACCGGAUAAGCCCUUACGGGGAAAGAUUUAUCGCCGAAAGAUUGGCCCGCGUCUGAUUAGCUUGUUGGUGAGGUAACGGCUCACCAAGGCGACGAUCAGUAGCUGGUCNGAGAGGAUGAUCAGCCACAUUGGGACUGAGACACGGCCCAAACUCCUACGGGAGGCAGCAGUGGGGAAUAUUGGACAAUGGGCGCAAGCCUGAUCCAGCCAUGCCGCGUGAGUGAUGAAGGCCCUAGGGUU
This 370-nucleotide ribosomal RNA is filed under the name uncultured bacterium. Its description in RNAcentral is "bacterial SSU rRNA". It matches the Rfam family "Bacterial small subunit ribosomal RNA", at positions 29 to 424 of the family's 1533-position model. The record is from RNAcentral.